UGCGCCCAGAUAGCCUCUAGGUGUGCCCCUCUACCUGCUCCUUAUGUGGGUGGCGAAGGUGGUGAUGGAAGGGGAGGAGAAAGUGAUGGUGGAGCCCGUACUAGCGGUGAGCGAAAUGAGAAUAGCCUAAAUCAUGAAAAACGGUAUUGUGGAAGAGCAAUACAAACAUCGUACUAAGCAAUACAAAUGCUGCACCCUAGAUGGCAAAAGUCCAGUAGCCGAAAAUAUCACUAGCUUACACUCUAACUCGAGUAGCAUGGGACACGUGGAAUCCCGGGGGAAUCAACAAGGACCACCUUGCAAGGCUAAAUACUUCUGGGUGACCGAUAGCCACGUAGUAUUGAGAGGGAA
RNAcentral lists this ribosomal RNA (351 nucleotides) under Olea europaea subsp. europaea. RNAcentral's name for it is "Bacterial large subunit ribosomal RNA". It matches the Rfam family "Bacterial large subunit ribosomal RNA", at positions 157 to 511 of the family's 2925-position model. The record is from Rfam by way of RNAcentral. Lineage: Eukaryota; Viridiplantae; Streptophyta; Magnoliopsida; Lamiales; Oleaceae.